This 18-nucleotide microRNA is filed under the name Homo sapiens (human). Its description in RNAcentral is "hsa-miR-4514". The record is from miRBase by way of RNAcentral. Lineage: Eukaryota; Metazoa; Chordata; Mammalia; Primates; Hominidae.
ACAGGCAGGAUUGGGGAA